RNAcentral lists this ribosomal RNA (500 nucleotides) under Nocardiopsis sp. Its description in RNAcentral is "bacterial SSU rRNA". It matches the Rfam family "Bacterial small subunit ribosomal RNA", at positions 97 to 598 of the family's 1533-position model. Lineage: Bacteria; Bacillati; Actinomycetota; Actinomycetes; Streptosporangiales; Nocardiopsidaceae. The record is from RNAcentral.
GGCGAACGGGUGAGUAACACGUGAGCAACCUGCCCCUGACUCUGGGAUAAGCGGUGGAAACGCCGUCUAAUACCGGAUACGACCUGCCAUCUCAUGGUGGUGGGUGGAAAGUUUUUCGGUCAGGGAUGGGCUCGCGGCCUAUCAGCUUGUUGGUGGGGUAACGGCCUACCAAGGCGAUUACGGGUAGCCGGCCUGAGAGGGCGACCGGCCACACUGGGACUGAGACACGGCCCAGACUCCUGCGGGAGGCAGCAGUGGGGAAUAUUGCGCAAUGGGCGAAAGCCUGACGCAGCGACGCCGCGUGGGGGAUGACGGCCUUCGGGUUGUAAACCUCUUUUACCACCAACGCAGGCUCCCAGUUCUCUGGGGGUUGACGGUAGGUGGGGAAUAAGGACCGGCUAACUACGUGCCAGCAGCCGCGGUAAUACGUAGGGUCCGAGCGUUGUCCGGAAUUAUUGGGCGUAAAGAGCUCGUAGGCGGCGUGUCGCGUCUGCUGUGAA